GGGAUUAAGCCCAGGGGUGCUCACUGUGAGGUAUAUUUCCUAGUCCUUUUAAAAAAUUUUUAUUUUGUGAUAUGGGCUCACUAAGUUGCUGAAGGUAACCUUGAACUUGGCUAUCCUUCUGCCUCAGCCUCCUGAACCCAGUGAGGAAUUAUUCUUAGUGAUGUACAUGCUCUAAAUCUAGAUGAGUGUAUAUCUUUGUAAAUAAUUAAUGAGCUGUACCCUAGUGAAAAUAAAGAGAUACGCAUUAGCUAGGUGAGAGGAGGGGAAAGGUUUCAGGCAGAGAGAAGAGCAUGUGGGUGAACCCCUGGGGCAGGGGCUGGGGUAAGUACCACAGACUGGAGGAAAAACCAGUGUGGCAGGAGCAGCUGAGCACGAGGCUGUGCACUAGUCACCUUGGUGUUGCUGUAACCACUGCCUGAGAUCGUCCACACCUGAAGGUUCACUUUGGCUUCCAGCAGAUCAUGGAGGAGCCGGGGCCGAGCGGAGCCGCUCACCUCAAGGCCCAGAAGUGAAAGAAAAGGAAGAGAUGAGGGGCCACUGUUCCCUUCACGGGCAUGCCCAGAGUGGCCAGAAGACCUCCCACUAGGUCCCGUC
RNAcentral lists this long non-coding RNA (594 nucleotides) under Marmota monax (woodchuck). Lineage: Eukaryota; Metazoa; Chordata; Mammalia; Rodentia; Sciuridae. The record is from RNAcentral.